GAAGAAGGAUAUUGAUAAUUCCUCUUAAGUCUGACCAACCAGUUUCUGCUAAAAUUUCUGAGGGCUUUUUCUCAACACAUACAAAUAAAUAAUUAUAAAAUAACUGCACAUCUCCCACCUGCCUGUAUCCUUAGUGAAAACAGACAUGCAAACCGGUGACUUAGGUGAUUAAAAAUUCCAUUACUAAUGGAAAAUUAAAUGAGCUCAGUGAAACUCUCUUACCUGUGUAGUCUCUUGAGUUUCUCUUUCUAUUUCAUGCUAAAUUACAAUCAAGCCUUGGCUACCUAACCUCAGAGAAUGAGUCAUUUUGAGAAGUUGAGUAUUUUUCUAGAAAAUGUUGCUGGCAUAUAGGGUGUUCUGUCACAAUAAGAAAAAUAUUUAUAUUCUUUCACUAGAUAAGUAGUCUAUGUUUACUGUAAUAAAUUUGGAAUGUAUAAAAAAGCAGAAUUAAAAAUAACAAAUUUCCUCCAAGCAAAGACAUAACAUUUUGGUUAAUAGUCUUCUUGUGUUCUAUCAUAGAAUUAUUUAAAACAUAGAAAACUAAUUCUAGUUUUCUCUCAACUAUCUUAACAUACAGUUUAAUGUAGGCUUUGGGUAUUCUAUAGCCUACUGGUGAAAUAAGACAGCUAUCUUAAGUACUUAUUUACUGAAGAAUUUUCCUCUCAUUUAAUGGCUUAAAUAAGUGAAUAUUUGAUGAGAAUAUUUGUAUUGCAUAUGCUGAUGUUGCCCAAAAAGUGGCUUUCUUGACAAAGUCCCCAAAGACAGCCUGGUUUGGGGUUGUUUUGCCUGUUUGUUCUGAAGGUGGCAUGAAGCAUGUUCAAAUUCAUGACCUCUGGGGCAGCAGAACAGAGGGCUGGUCUGCAUAAUUAACCAGUGAAUCAAGGGCUUCAGCAGCAUUCUCCCAAAGGUUUUGUCCCUCUCCAGAAAUGAUCUUCUUCUUUGUGGCAAACAGGGCCCUUUGAUGUGUCAGCAGCAUUCAAAGCCCAGGCGGUGACUUCUGCAUCAUUAACACAUUUGUGCUUCCUUUGUCACUUUGGACCCAGGCUUCCAUCUCUUUUACCCGAAGUUUUCCUGAGGCUUAAAAGAACUCUGGCCCUCACUCUUUCCAAAGUGUGUCCUAGUAUGUUUGGGAAAUGACUUAUUCUCAAGGCAAAAAAAAAAAUAAUAAUAAUAAUAAUAAUUUUGCUGACUUGGUUUCAGACUGAGAUUUUUCUCUAAACUGUUCUCAGCAUUUGGUUUGAAUAAAAUACCAGGCAUAAGCAAUAUUUUAAAUUAUAUAGUCCUUGUAACAAUGAAGUGGAAAUUCCUGAAUAUCACAUGCCUGAUAAAUCUUUCUCAUUAAAUCUCAUAUGCAGUAAAAUUUCCUGUCUUGAAUACAUGUUUUCUAUAGGCUCAUCCCAAGGAUCUAAUAUUCGGUGGCAGGGAGAUAGAAAUAAUGUUUGCAGAUACCACUGUAUUUCCUCUGGGUGAGCAGAAUAAUUGCCUAAAAACAAAAUGGUUUUGUUACAUGGAAGUAAAGCCUGUGGUUCUGAAAAGAUCCCUCAUUAUAUAUAAAUAAAAAUGACAGGAGGAGGUUGGGUGUGACGAGAGAGGCUAUUUUUGAUUUUCCAAGCAUUAUUUGUACAGCAUAAGCAACAGGUGAUAUUCUAGAAUGCUUUAGAACCAUGUCAUGUAAAGUUGCAAAUCUUAUACUAUCAGCUUAUGCUUACUCUGUUUUAAUUCAGGUAAACUAGUAUCCGUAUAUAUAGUUACAUGUUAAAUUAGGCCAACUUUAUAUAACUCUAUCAAGAAUUACAGCUUGAGCCUAGGUUUGCUUCAUUCUCAGAUGCAGGCAAGCCAGAAGAGGAGAGUCCAGGACCAGUAAAUCAGGUCAGUAAAUGCACUAUUCUGUCAGGGGCCAAGUUACCACUGAAGAGGUAAGACAAGUGAUGGUUGAGGAUCAUAAAUGUGAUUCAAGGACAGCAGAAAUUACCAAGAAGAAAGGGAAAUGUCUGUCAGAUGUGGCACCAAUCUCUUAGUUUCCCCUUAGUAAUACUCCACUGAGAGUAGUUAGAGAAGCUAGUGGGCCAUUGAGAUGGCAGGGUGCCAGCAGCAUUUGGACCCACAGCUUCUGCAACAUUCAAUGCCAGGGCCUGCAGCUGUGGUGGGUGCAGCAGCCUCAGAGGAUGUGAAGUAGACCUCCCCAGAAGUAUCUAUCCUUUUCAGAGAACACCAGCAGAUUAACAGUCACUUUGGACAUUGGAAGCUGCAGCAAACACCUCAAUAUAAUAAGUUGACACAGGAGCAAAGGGAAUGAAUGGUCCAACCCAUGGAGCAGUCAGGGAAGCUGGUCAGGGAAAAGGCAGGGGAGACACCCCUAAGGGGUCCCCAGGCUAUAUGUGAGGAAUUAAAGGGGUCUGGACUUCCCGUACUGUUGUUAGAAACUAAGGAAAAAAUACUACUAAUAAGAUAAAUGUCUGUGGUUGUCUUACAUCUUAGCUGGGUAUGUAGGAAUUUAGGUUAUAUGAAAAUUAUUUAGAAUUAAGCUUUCUUUCUUUCUUUCUUUUUUUCUUUUUCUUUCCUUUUUCUCCUGGUCACCCAUGGCAUAUAGAGUUCCCAGGUCAAGGGUAGGAUCUGACCUAUGCCACAGCUGCGGCAAUGCCAGAUCCUUUAACUCACUUGCCAGGCUGGGGAUUGAACCAUCCUAUUGUGCCACAGCAGGAACUCUAGAAGUAAGUUUUCUUAAGGAGUCACAAAACUUUUCUUUUUUGUUUUUUAGGGCUGCACCUGUGGCAUAUAGAGGUUCCCGGGCUAGGGGUUGAAUCAGAUCUGCAGCUGUUGGCCUACACCACAGCUGUAGCAAUGUGGAAUCAGAGCCACAUCUGUGACCUACGCCAUAGCUCAAGGCAACAUUGGAUCCUUAACCCACUGAGCGAGGCCAGGGAUUGAAUCUGCAUCCUCAUGGAUACUAGUAAGAUUCAUUUCUGCUGAGCCAUGAUGGGAAUUCCAACACAGGAUUAUUCCAACUCCCUCUCUUUCCCUCAGGGUUUGCUGACUUUACCUAUAAUGUCUUCUCAUGUUGCCUCACCCUAAAAGAAUUAGGACUAUCUAAGGCAGCAUUUAACUGGAAACCCAACUAAGGUUUGUGAGGCUGAACAAAUAAAGUUUUAUUUAAAUUUUUUUUUAAUUUUGAUUUUUCUUUUUUCUUUAAAUUUUGUUCUGAGGUAUUUAUUUUUGAAUAUGCAAAAAUUUUAUUUAUUUAAAUAAUUUUUAUUUUUUCCAUUAUAGUUGGUUUACAGUGCUGAGUAAUCACUUUUCUACUGUACAGCAAAGUGACCCAGUCACACAUGCAUAUAUACAUUCAUUUUCUCACAUUACCCUCCAUUAUUCUCCAUCACAAGUGACUAGAUAUAGUUCCCAGUGCUACACAGCAGGAUCUCAUAGCUAAUCCAUUCUGAAUGCAAUACUUUAUAUCUAUUAACCCCAGAUUCCCAGUCCAUCCCACUCCCACCCCCUUCCCCUUGGUAAUCACAAGUCUGUUCUCCAAGUCCAUGAGUUUCUUUUCUGUGGAAAGGUUAUUUGUGCCAUAUAUUAGAUUCCAGAUGUGUGAUAUCAUAUGGUAUUUGUCUUUCUCUUUCUGACUUCACUUAGUAUGAGAGUCUAUAGUUGUAUCCAUGUUGCUGCAAAUGGCAUUAUUUUGUUCUUUUUUAUGGCUGUGAGGUAUUCCAUUGUGUAUAUAUACCAUAUCUUCUUAAUCAAUUCAUCUUGUCAGUGGACAUUGAGGUUGUUUCCAUGUCUUGGCUAUUAUGAAUGGUGCUGCAAUGAACAUAUGGGUGCAUGUGUCUAUUUCAAGGAAAGUUUUGUCUGGAUAUAUGCCCAUUAUAUAAAUCUGGAAUUGUCAUUCUUCUGACCUGGUUUCAAGAGCUCAGUGAAGAGAAACACAAUUGUAGAAAUCAAGUCUGUUUUUGAGACAGGAAGAAGGUAGAAAUGAGAAGGUGGGCCAAGGACUCAGCAGGAGGAUUUUAUGUUAUAUCAAGAAACAAAAGCUCCAGAAGGCUUCCAGUUAUGUUUCCUUGGCCAGUACUCUAUUGAAUGCCCUUCUAGUUGCAAAGAAGGCUGGGAAAAUUCAUAAUUAACUUAUCUAUCUUUUAUACUAGAGGGAGUCAAGGGAGCAAUAGAUAAAAAAUGUUCUUAGUCCCCAUAGUGUCAACCCUAAACACCAAAAUACCCUUUAGAAACUCAGAAUUUUUCAGGAAAUUGAAAUUACACAGAAUUUUUUCAUGUCUGGUCAAUAAACAUUGAGUGGGAGACAAGUACAGUUUCUUAUCUUUUCAUUGAAAAUCACAUAUAAAAAGGUUCAUUUGUCUUCAAGUUUGAUUAUGUAUAUGAUAUAAAGUUAUGGUUAACCCAAGGUUUUUUACAAAAAAAAAACUGCAAAAAGUAAUUUUUUUUACAUUUAUUAAUUCUUGAUGUCUAAUAACUCACAUGAAGUAGAAAGAGUACUGGGUUUUUUUUAAUUUAAUUUUUCUGUUGAAGUACAGUUGAGUUACAAUGAUGUGUUAGUUUCUGGUGUAUAGCAAAGUGAUUUGGUUAUCAUAUACAUAUAUCCAUUCUUUUUCAGAUUCUUUUCUCAUAUGGAUUAUUACAAAAUAUUGAGUAGAGAUCCCUGUACUAUAAAAUAGGUCCUUGAUGAUUAUCUGUUUUAUAUAUAGUAGUGUAUAUAUGUUAAUCCCAAACUCCUACUUAUCCCUCUCUCCCCUACAUUUUCCCUUUGGUAACCAUAAUUUGUUUUUGAAGACUGUGAGUCUCUUUCUGUUUUGUAAAUAAGUUCAUUUGUAUCACUAUUUUAGAUUCCACAUAUAAAUGAUGUGAUGUUUGUCUUUGACUUCAUUUAGUUUGAUAAUCUCUAGAUCCAUCUAUGUUGCUGCAAAUGGCAUCAUUUCAUUCUUUUUUAUGGCUAAGUAAUAUUCCAUUGUAUAUUCCAUUGUAUGGUAUACAUACAUCAUAUCUUCUUUCCAUUUCUCUGUCAAUGGACAUCUAGGUUGCUUGGCUAUUGUAAGCAGUGCUUCAAUGAACACUGGGGUGCAUGCAUCUUUUCAAAUUGUGGUUUUCUGUGGAUAGAUGCCCAGGAGUGGGAUUGCUGGAUCAUAUGUUAGUUCUAUUUUUAGUUUUUUAAGAAGUUUCCAUACUGUUCUCCAUAGUGGUUAUACCAGUUUACAUUCUCACCAACAAUGUUGGAAGGUUCUGUUAUUAUUUGUAGACUUUUUGAUGAUGACCAUUCUGACAAUUGUAGUUUUGAUGUUUAUUUCUCUAAUAAUUAGCGAUGUUGAACAUCUUUUCAUUUGCUUUCUGGUCAUCUGUCUGUCUUCUAUGAGAGCACUAGAUUUUUAGUCUCCCAGGCUUACUUUCAAAUUUUGGCUUAAUCACUUUCUAGCUAUACAAGUGAAUGACUUAUUUAAUUUCUGAGAUAGCCAGUGUCCAAGAUGUUUCCUGUUGUUCUUACAUCCUGGCAUCCACAGACUUGAAUAGUCCCCUCUCAGGUAUAUUAGCAUUGGUCUAUGAAGUGAUGGAUGUUACUUCCAAGAUUAAGUUAUUAAAGAAUGUAGCUUUGAGAGUUCCUGCCAUGGCACAGUGGGUUAAGAAUCUGACUAUAUCAGCCUGGGUUUCUGAGCAGUUGUGGGUUCAAUCCCUGGCACUGGGAAGUGGGUUGGGGGAUCUGGCAUUGCCACAGCUGUAGUGCAGGUCACAACUGUGACUUGGAUUCAAUCCCUGGCCCAGGAACUCUAUAUACCUUCUGGUGGCAAAAAAAAAAAAAAAAAAAAAAAAAAAA
This 5809-nucleotide long non-coding RNA is filed under the name Sus scrofa (pig). RNAcentral describes it as "lncRNA (ENSSSCG00055007707.1)". Lineage: Eukaryota; Metazoa; Chordata; Mammalia; Artiodactyla; Suidae. The record is from RNAcentral.